This 410-nucleotide ribosomal RNA is filed under the name uncultured bacterium. RNAcentral's name for it is "bacterial SSU rRNA". It matches the Rfam family "Bacterial small subunit ribosomal RNA", at positions 355 to 760 of the family's 1533-position model. The record is from RNAcentral.
UAGGGAAUAUUGGGCAAUGGGCGAGANCCUGACCCAGCCAUGCCGCGUGCAGGACGAAGGCCCUCUGGGUUGUAAACUGCUUUUAUCGGGGAAGAAGAGCACUCUUGCGAGAGUGUGUGACGGUACCCGAGGAAUCAGCACCGGCUAACUCCGUNCCAGCAGCCGCGGUAAUACGGAGGGUGCAAGNGUUGUCCGGAUUUAUUGGGUUUAAAGGGUGCGUAGGUGGCCGUUUAAGUCCGCUUUGAAAGCUGGUCGCUCAACGAUCAGGGGUGGGUGGAUACUGGAUGGCUUGAAUGAUGUNGAGGUUACUGGAACGGGUCGUGUAGCGGUGAAAUGCAUAUAUAUGACCCAGAACUCCGAUUGCGAAGGCAGGUGGCUAGGCAUCGACUUGACACUGAGGCAACGAGAGC